Molecule: ribosomal RNA, 435 nt
Filed under: Burkholderia sp. Ms307RE
Lineage: Bacteria; Pseudomonadati; Pseudomonadota; Betaproteobacteria; Burkholderiales; Burkholderiaceae
Description: bacterial SSU rRNA
Rfam family: Bacterial small subunit ribosomal RNA
Source: RNAcentral
AAAGCCGGAUUAAUACCGCAUCCGCUCUGUGGAGGAAAGCGGGGGAUCUUCGGACCUCGCGCUCAAGGGGCGGCCGAUGGCAGAUUAGCUAGUUGGUGGGGUAAAGGCCUACCAAGGCGACGAUCUGUAGCUGGUCUGAGAGGACGACCAGCCACACUGGGACUGAGACACGGCCCAUACUCCUACGGGAGGCAGCAGUGGGGAAUUUUGGACAAUGGGGGCAACCCUGAUCCAGCAAUGCCGCGUGUGUGAAGAAGGCCUUCGGGUUGUAAAGCACUUUUGUCCGGAAAGAAAACCUCUGGGUUAAUACCCUGGGGGGAUGACGGUACCGGAAGAAUAAGCACCGGCUAACUACGUGCCAGCAGCCGCGGUAAUACGUAGGGUGCGAGCGUUAAUCGGAAUUACUGGGCGUAAAGCGUGCGCAGGCGGUUCGCU